Molecule: ribosomal RNA, 433 nt
Filed under: uncultured bacterium
Lineage: Bacteria
Description: partial 16S ribosomal RNA
Rfam family: Bacterial small subunit ribosomal RNA
Source: RNAcentral
AACGAACGCUGGCGGCAGGCUUAACACAUGCAAGUCGAGCGGGCCCUUCGGGGUCAGCGGCAGACGGGUGAGUAACACGUGGGAACGUACCUUUUGGUUCGGAACAACUCCGGGAAACUGGAGCUAAUACCGGAUAAGCCCUUAGGGGGAAAGAUUUAUCGCCAAAAGAUCGGCCCGCGUCUGAUUAGCUAGUUGGUGGGGUAACGGCCCACCAAGGCGACGAUCAGUAGCUGGUCUGAGAGGAUGAUCAGCCACACUGGGGCUGAGACACGGCCCAGACUCCUACGGGAGGCAGCAGUGGGGAAUAUUGGACAAUGGGCGCAAGCCUGAUCCAGCCAUGCCGCGUGAGUGAUGAAGGCCUUAGGGUUGUAAAGCUCUUUUGUCCGGGAAGAUAAUGACUGUACCGGAAGAAUAAGCCCCGGCUAACUUCGUG